This 301-nucleotide ribosomal RNA is filed under the name uncultured bacterium. RNAcentral's name for it is "partial 16S ribosomal RNA". It matches the Rfam family "Bacterial small subunit ribosomal RNA", at positions 509 to 807 of the family's 1533-position model. The record is from RNAcentral.
CAGUAGCCACGGUAAUACGUAGGUGGCAAGCGUUGUCCGGAAUUAUUGGGCGUAAAGGGCUCGCAGGCGGUUUCUUAAGUCUGAUGUGAAAGCCCCCGGCUCAACCGGGGAGGGUCAUUGGAAACUGGGAAACUUGAGUGCAGAAGAGGAGAGUGGAAUUCCACGUGUAGCGGUGAAAUGCGUAGAGAUGUGGAGGAACACCAGUGGCGAAGGCGACUCUCUGGUCUGUAACUGACGCUGAGGAGCGAAAGCGUGGGGAGCGGACAGGAUUAGAUACCCCCGUAGUCCCUGUCUCUUAUAC